ACAGGGUGACAGCCCCGUACACAAAAGCGCAUGUGUUGUGAGCUCGAUGAGUAGGGCGGGACACGUGGUAUCCUGUCUGAAUAUGGGGGGACCAUCCUCCAAGGCUAAAUACUCCUGACUGACCGAUAGUGAACCAGUACCGUGAGGGAAAGGCGAAAAGAACCCCGGCGAGGGGAGUGAAAAAGAACCUGAAACCGUGUACGUACAAGCAGUGGGAGCACCCUUCGGGGUGUGACUGCGUACCUUUUGUAUAAUGGGUCAGCGACUUAUAUUCUGUAGCAAGGUUAACCGAAUAGGGGAGCCGGAGGGAAACCGAGUCUUAAUUGGGCGUUAAGUUGCAGGGUAUAGACCCGAAACCCGGUGAUCUAGCCAUGGGCAGGUUGAAGGUUGGGUAACACUAACUGGAGGACCGAACCGACUAAUGUUGAAAAAUUAGCGGAUGACCUGUGGCUGGGGGUGAAAGGCCAAUCAAACCGGGAGAUAGCUGGUUCUCCCCGAAAGCUAUUUAGGUAGCGCCUCGUGAAUUCAUCUCCGGGGGUAGAGCACUGUUUCGGCUAGGGGGCCAUCCCGGCUUACCAACCCGAUGCAAACUGCGAAUACCGGAGAAUGUUAUCACGGGAGACACACGGCGGGUGCUAACGUCCGUCGUGAAGAGGGAAACAACCCAGACCGCCAGCUAAGGUCCCAAAGUCAUGGUUAAGUGGGAAACGAUGUGGGAAGGCCCAGACAGCCAGGAUGUUGGCUUAGAAGCAGCCAUCAUUUAAAGAAAGCGUAAUAGCUCACUGGUCGAGUCGGCCUGCGCGGAAGAUGUAACGGGGCUAAACCAUGCACCGAAGCUGCGGCAGCGACACUGUGUGUUGUUGGGUAGGGGAGCGUUCUGUAAGCCUGUGAAGGUGUGUCGUGAGGCAUGCUGGAGGUAUCAGAAGUGCGAAUGCUGACAUAAGUAACGAUAAAGCGGGUGAAAAGCCCGCUCGCCGGAAGACCAAGGGUUCCUGUCCAACGUUAAUCGGGGCAGGGUGAGUCGACCCCUAAGGCGAGGCCGAAAGGCGUAGUCGAUGGGAAACGGGUUAAUAUUCCCGUACUUGGUGUUACUGCGAAGGGGGGACGGAGAAGGCUAUGUUGGCCGGGCGACGGUUGUCCCGGUUUAAGCGUGUAGGUGUGUGUUCCAGGUAAAUCCGGUUCACUUUAACACUGAGGCGUGACGACGAGGCACUACGGUGCUGAAGCAACAAAUGCCCUGCUUCCAGGAAAAGCCUCUAAGCAUCAGGUAACAUCAAAUCGUACCCCAAACCGACACAGGUGGUCAGGUAGAGAAUACCAAGGCGCUUGAGAGAACUCGGGUGAAGGAACUAGGCAAAAUGGUGCCGUAACUUCGGGAGAAGGCACGCUGACACGUAGGUGAAGUGAUUUACUCAUGGAGCUGAAGUCAGUCGAAGAUACCAGCUGGCUGCAACUGUUUAUUAAAAACACAGCACUGUGCAAACACGAAAGUGGACGUAUACGGUGUGACGCCUGCCCGGUGCCGGAAGGUUAAUUGAUGGGGUCAGCGCAAGCGAAGCUCCUGAUCGAAGCCCCGGUAAACGGCGGCCGUAACUAUAACGGUCCUAAGGUAGCGAAAUUCCUUGUCGGGUAAGUUCCGACCUGCACGAAUGGCGUAAUGAUGGCCAGGCUGUCUCCACCCGAGACUCAGUGAAAUUGAACUCGCUGUGAAGAUGCAGUGUACCCGCGGCAAGACGGAAAGACCCCGUGAACCUUUACUAUAGCUUGACACUGAACAUUGAGCCUUGAUGUGUAGGAUAGGUGGGAGGCUUUGAAGCGUGGACGCCAGUCUGCGUGGAGCCGACCUUGAAAUACCACCCUUUAAUGUUUGAUGUUCUAACGUGGACCCGUGAUCCGGGUUGCGGACAGUGUCUGGUGGGUAGUUUGACUGGGGCGGUCUCCUCCUAAAGAGUAACGGAGGAGCACGAAGGUUGGCUAAUCCUGGUCGGACAUCAGGAGGUUAGUGCAAUGGCAUAAGCCAGCUUGACUGCGAGCGUGACGGCGCGAGCAGGUGCGAAAGCAGGUCAUAGUGAUCCGGUGGUUCUGAAUGGAAGGGCCAUCGCUCAACGGAUAAAAGGUACUCCGGGGAUAACAGGCUGAUACCGCCCAAGAGUUCAUAUCGACGGCGGUGUUUGGCACCUCGAUGUCGGCUCAUCACAUCCUGGGGCUGAAGUAGGUCCCAAGGGUAUGGCUGUUCGCCAUUUAAAGUGGUACGCGAGCUGGGUUUAGAACGUCGUGAGACAGUUCGGUCCCUAUCUGCCGUGGGCGCUGGAGAACUGAGGGGGGCUGCUCCUAGUACGAGAGGACCGGAGUGGACGCAUCACUGGUGUUCGGGUUGUCAUGCCAAUGGCACUGCCCGGUAGCUAAAUGCGGAAGAGAUAAGUGCUGAAAGCAUCUAAGCACGAAACUUGCCCCGAGAUGAGUUCUCCC
Molecule: ribosomal RNA, 2469 nt
Filed under: Salmonella enterica subsp. enterica serovar Stanley
Lineage: Bacteria; Pseudomonadati; Pseudomonadota; Gammaproteobacteria; Enterobacterales; Enterobacteriaceae
Description: partial 23S ribosomal RNA
Rfam family: Bacterial large subunit ribosomal RNA
Source: RNAcentral